UACAGAGGGUGCGAGCGUUAAUCGGAAUUACUGGGCGUAAAGCGUGCGUAGACGGUUAUCUAAGUCGGGUGUGAAAGCCCCGGGCUCAACCUGGGAAUUGCAUUCGAUACUGGAUAGCUAGAGUUCGGCAGAGGGAAGUGGAAUUUCCGGUGUAGCGGUGAAAUGCGUAGAUAUCGGAAGGAACAUCAGUGGCGAAAGCGACUUCCUGGACCAGAACUGACGUUCAGGCACGAAAGCGUGGGGAGCAAACAGG
This 253-nucleotide ribosomal RNA is filed under the name uncultured bacterium. Its description in RNAcentral is "partial 16S ribosomal RNA". It matches the Rfam family "Bacterial small subunit ribosomal RNA", at positions 524 to 776 of the family's 1533-position model. The record is from RNAcentral.